CAGCCGCCGCGGGAAAACGAAGGGUGCAAGCGUUACUCGGAAUUACUGGGCGUAAAGCGUGCGUAGGUGGUGGUUUAAGUCCGUUGUGAAAGCCCUGGGCUCAACCUGGGAAUUGCAGUGGAUACUGGAUCACUAGAGUGUGGUAGAGGAUAGUGGAAUUUCCGGUGUAGCAGUGAAAUGCGUAGAGAUCGGAAGGAACAUCUGUGGCGAAGGCGACUAUCUGGGCCAACACUGACACUGAGGCACGAAAGCGUGGGGAGCAAACAGGAUUAGAUACCCCCGUAGUCCCUGUCUCUUAUAC
This 301-nucleotide ribosomal RNA is filed under the name uncultured bacterium. Its description in RNAcentral is "partial 16S ribosomal RNA". It matches the Rfam family "Bacterial small subunit ribosomal RNA", at positions 509 to 807 of the family's 1533-position model. The record is from RNAcentral.